This 492-nucleotide ribosomal RNA is filed under the name uncultured bacterium. RNAcentral's name for it is "partial 16S ribosomal RNA". It matches the Rfam family "Bacterial small subunit ribosomal RNA", at positions 29 to 507 of the family's 1533-position model. The record is from RNAcentral.
AGUGAACGCUGGCGGUAGGCCUAACACAUGCAAGUCGAACGGCAGCACAGUAAGAGCUUGCUCUUACGGGUGGCGGGUGGCGGACGGGUGAGGAAUACAUCGGAAUCUACUUUUUCGUGGGGGAUAACGUAGGGAAACUUACGCUAAUACCGCAUACGACCUACGGGUGAAAGCAGGGGAUCUUCGGACCUUGCGCGAUUGAAUGAGCCGAUGUCGGAUUAGCUAGUUGGCGGGGUAAAGGCCCACCAAGGCGACGAUCCGUAGCUGGUCUGAGAGGAUGAUCAGCCACACUGGAACUGAGACACGGUCCAGACUCCUACGGGAGGCAGCAGUGGGGAAUAUUGGACAAUGGGCGCAAGCCUGAUCCAGCCAUACCGCGUGGGUGAAGAAGGCCUUCGGGUUGUAAAGCCCUUUUGUCGGGAAAGAAAAGCAGCAGGUUAAUACCCCGCCGUUCUGACGGUACCCAAAGAAUAAGCACCGGCUAACUUCGUG